CGGAAGGACACCUUUCGGUAUUUGGGGUCAAUGUUGCAGGAGGAUGGGGGUAUUGAUGAAGAUGUGAACCAUCGAAUCAAAGCCGGACGGAUGAAGUGGCGCCAAGCUUCUGGCAUUCUCUGUGACAAGAGAGUGCCACAAAAGCUAAAAGGCAAGUUCUACAGGACGGCGGUUCGACCCGCAAUGUUGUAUGGCGCGGAGUGUUGGCCGACUAAAAGGCGACAUGUUCAACAGUUAGGUGUGGCAGAGAUGCGUAUGUUGAGAUGGAUGUGUGGCCACACGAGGAAGGAUCGAGUCCGGAAUGAUGAUAUACGAGAUAGAGUUGGGGUAGCACCAAUUGAGGAGAAGCUUGUCCAACAUCGUUUGAGA
RNAcentral lists this ribosomal RNA (369 nucleotides) under Triticum aestivum (bread wheat). RNAcentral's name for it is "partial small subunit ribosomal RNA". The record is from RNAcentral. Lineage: Eukaryota; Viridiplantae; Streptophyta; Magnoliopsida; Poales; Poaceae.